Molecule: long non-coding RNA, 1224 nt
Organism: Gallus gallus (chicken)
Lineage: Eukaryota; Metazoa; Chordata; Aves; Galliformes; Phasianidae
Source: Ensembl
AUUAUUUCACCUACAGCACAACAGAAGCAUCAAGGCAGUAUCUUCCCUGCAGCUAGGGCUGUGAUCUUCCUACAAGAGCAUUGCUCUGUCCCUUCUGUUUUGUGAUACUUUCUCACGGACACACUUCACUGCUCAGAACACUGGUCCUAUUUUGCUGUAUCUGAUUUCUGAAGAAACCUUCUGUCCUGGAGCUUUUCUUGUUCCAAGAGGAUCCUCUUGAAGAUGGCGUAAGUGAAUUCUGCUGCCAAAAGAAGUCAGCCUCGCUGUUUUUGCUGAACAGAUCCCUGAACCUGUCUGGACCCCUUGGUCUUGCACAGCACCGACAACAAUUCCACACUGCUGUCUCCUGGGGAAGUUUCAAUCUGAUGUGUCUGAAUAAGUCUGCGCUGCAAAGCUGCUGGCAACAGAGAACUCCAUCUGCAUUACCAGAUUUAAUUCCCAGUUUCCAAGCGGUGGAAGUUGAGUUGCAGCAGGUAGGAAGAAGGAGUGCUGCUAAUUAAAUAACAGAGGGGGAGCAUGGAUUUUUUUGCACCUAGUGCUUCACAACACUGUACUGCCUAUGCAGCUGAUCCAAAUGGAUCCAAAGCACAGCGGCUUCUCUGACAACUCCAAUCAAGGCUGGAGAUUCCCAGGAACAUUUCAGUAGAACACUACUGGCUUCAAUAGGCUAGGGCAAAACUGCCCAACAUUCACCCACUAAGAAAUGUAAUAAUGGUAGGGGCCUUUUUUCACUCCCCCUUCUUUUUCUACCUGUUCUUGAGAUAAAUAACGUGUAAAAAAUGGAAAAUAGGCAAGGAUGUGUGCAUAGACGAAGGAGAUAAAAUGUGAUUUAGAGGAGAAAGGAAAAUUGGAGGAGUUUGGAGAAAGGAAGGAGCUAGCAAUUAAAUCUUGCUCUGUUUGUCUCGUAGUUGUAAUGAUCUGGAAAGAGGGGGUGGAAAGAACAAGGAAGAGAUCAAGGAGCUUAGAGUAAUUAAUUAAUUCAUUGUUUGGAUUGUCUCCUGUUUUUCAGCAUAGUAAAAGAAAUCAAGAUUAAAAAUAAAAAUGAAAGUGAGAGAAAGUUAUUAGAAUAAUUAACUCAUAAUUACUCUGUUGUGCUAAUCUGUUUUUGUUCUAACUAAAAAAAAAGGGAGUCCAAUAAAUCCUACUUCAUCAUGUUAUUUAGCAAUUCUUUUUUUUUUUUUUUCCAAAGUAAAAGCUUUUGAAGUGUGCAAUUAAAUGCCAUUU